GGAAGAAAAGCUCAGUUGGGAAGAUCUGAGCUUGAUUUACCUUCAAUGUCAUCUAAAAGGUCGUAGGUUCGAAUCUUGCUUCCUUCA
Molecule: non-coding RNA, 87 nt
Organism: Sordaria macrospora k-hell
Lineage: Eukaryota; Fungi; Ascomycota; Sordariomycetes; Sordariales; Sordariaceae
Source: the annotation of a RefSeq genome assembly